UGCGCAGGCGGGCUUGUAAGUCAGUGGUGAAAUACUGCCGCUUAACGGUAGAACUGCCAUUGAUACUGCAAGUCUUGAAUAUGGUUGAGGUAGGCGGAAUGUGUUGUGUAGCGGUGAAAUGCAUAGAUAUGACACAGAACGCCGAUUGCGAAGGCAGCUUACUAAGCCAUUAUUGACGCUGAGGCACGAAAGCGUGGGGAGCGAACAGGAUUAGAUACCCUGGUAGUA
This 228-nucleotide ribosomal RNA is filed under the name uncultured bacterium. RNAcentral describes it as "partial 16S ribosomal RNA". It matches the Rfam family "Bacterial small subunit ribosomal RNA", at positions 568 to 795 of the family's 1533-position model. The record is from RNAcentral.